AAGUAGUGAAGUAAUAAUUACAUUUAGUUUCGACCUAAAAUUAGAGAAUACGCAUUCUCCUUACUUA
Molecule: transfer RNA, 67 nt
Filed under: Rhynocoris fuscipes
Lineage: Eukaryota; Metazoa; Arthropoda; Insecta; Hemiptera; Reduviidae
Description: tRNA-Arg
Source: RNAcentral